Oreochromis aureus is the source of this 3253-nucleotide long non-coding RNA. NCBI's taxonomy places the organism in Eukaryota, Metazoa, Chordata, Actinopteri, Cichliformes, Cichlidae. The record is from Ensembl.
GCUUGAAUCCUUCAUUUUCGACCGUGUUUAUUGGUAGCAUGUCUUUAGCAAGACGGUAGGCUAUGGCAUUCGUUAUGUCGCUAUGUCUCUUAGCUAUUUUGUCAUAUGGUAAGACGCUGGAGAAAGCCGACUCAAUUGACUGUUGUUGCUUCGCAGGGAUUCUCCUGGUUGUUUUCGAUAACGAAUUAGCGCUUUCAGUCUACGGAACUUCUCUGGCCCUUCCUUUCGACAAUCUCUCCGGCAUUGGAACCGUCAUCUGUGUUCUCUUCGGUAACCUGGUCACCUAAGCUCUCGGUUGAUUUUUCUCUAGCGGGCAAACUCAUUUUCUCCAUUAACUGGCCGGCACGGCGGCUGGCUGCUUCCCAAACAAAUACACUUGUGCUGUACGUAACAAGUCACGUGACGUGACGCUGCGGCUGUGAUUGGUUCAGCUAUGCGCUACUUAAUUUGGAUUGGCUGUUCUUUUUUUUUUUAAGACAGGAAGAGAGAGAGAUGAGGUCUAUCGCAAUAGUUUCAUUUUUCUAUCGAGAAAAAGUUAUUUCGCAAUACAUAUCGUUAUCGUUCUAUCGCCCAGCUCUAUCUAUUACUGGACAUUUUAAGAAUAUUACCUGGCUUAACUGUCUGGCUAAUCCACUUUAUCUUCCCUUCUCUUACAUAAAUGUAUUUUAGUGAUUUUCUUUGCAGAUGACAAAACUUUAUAUAAAAAUAAAUGCAAUUUAUUCUCCUGACAUUGUUUUGGUUAUGUUAACUAAUUAACUGAGUAAUCUCCUCCUACAAAAUUGGAUACAAUGUAGUUUUAACCAUGUAGUUUUAACUAUUUAUACAGAAAAAGUAAUGUUACCUGUAUCAAGCUUUGAUCGUGCCCUUUUCCUGUUAUUCAAUAAAUCAAUAGACACGUUGAUUGAUAUAAGGGCUCUUAUUAUUUCAGAUUGAGGUAUUGAGGUAAAACAUCAUCCCAGAACUCCUCUGACUCACCUGCCGCCUGACCUUUGACUCCUAACCUUAGUUUGCUUCUAGUUGCUGAUUUAGCACUUAUUCUUUUCACUUCAGCAGACCUUUUCUUUUUGACAGCCUUCUCCUCUUCUUCUUCUUCUUCUUCAUCUUCCUUCUCUUCCUCUUCUUCUUCUUCCUGUUCUUCUUCUUCCUCACUCUGGUCCUCCUCAUCUUCCGCUUCAGCCUCCUUUUCCUCACUUUCUUCCUCCUCUUCUCCUUCUUCUUCUUCCUCCUCCUCAUCCUCUGUCUCUUCCUCCUUUUCCUCACUUUCUUCCUCUUCUUUUUCUUCUGCCUCCUCUUCAUCCUCUGUCUCUUCCUCCUUUUCCUCACUUUGUUCAUCCUCUUCUUUUUCUUCUUCCUCCUCCUCAUCCUCUGUCUCUUCCUCCUUUUCCCCACUUUGUUCCUCCUCCUCUUCUUCCUCAAUUUCACUGUUUUCCUCUUCACUACUCUCUUCUACUUCUUCAGCACUACCCUUUUCUUCCUCCUCUUUUUCAUCUUCUCCUUCUUCGGUCUCCCUCUCUUCCUCACUUUCUUCUCUCUCUGAAGACCUCACAGACUCACUUUCAACCUCCUCUUCUUCACCCUCACUCUCCAAACUCCCUUCUUCUUCCUCGUCCCCUUCUUCCAAGUCACUUUCAGUAUCUCCACGUUUGCUCUCUGUUUCGUGACUUGACCCUUCCUCACUUUCCUCUUCCUCCGCCUCCUCUUCUUCUACAACCCCUCCGUUUCUGUCUUUCUCUUCAGUCUCUGCUUUGCUUUCACUUUCUGUUACUCCACUCUUUUCCUCCUCCUCUUCUUCAUCUUCUACCACAACAUUGCUCUCAUCCUCCUCCUCAUCUACAUCGCUGUCUGACUUCUCUCCAGAUUGAAGAGUGUCACUCUCUUUUUCAUCCUCAGCGUUCUCUGCCACUUUCUUAAUAAUGUGACUAACAUCCUCCUCUUCCUCGCUUACUUCUGCAUCUGUCUGCCCUUCUUCCUCUUCAACCGCUUCCUCAUUAUCCUCCUCUUCCUCUUUGAUUGCGGCAGAGUCCAUCUGUUCACUUUGAUCUGAGAUUGUCCUCAUUUCAGGACUUUCAGGUGCGGGUAUGAUGUUGAUGCUGACAGCAGAUUUGUGGCUAAAAUUGGCAGCGUAAGAUUCAGAUUCCUCACUCAGUGAUUUAGUCACACUCUCUUUAAGUACAGCACAGCUGUUCUCAGAAAGGGAUGUGGAGCUUAAUCGUCUUCCAGCUUGGAUCAAAGCUGCUCCUGCGGCGAGUGAAGCAGCUCCAACAACCAGGCUGAGAUCUGUUGACUUUUUCUGAACCUCUGACCCUCUUUUGAUUUGAGCGUCUUUCAUGUUUUUUUCAUUCUUGUUUUUCUUAGACAAAUCUGUUUUCUUCUCUUUAGAUUUGGGAGUUUUUUUCACCUCAGAAACCUGCUGAGAGCCCACUAUGCUCUCUUCAUCCAAAGUGUCACUCAGGUGAAAGCUUGCUGAGUCUGUAUGACUGAGUUUACCUGGCGAACUGAUUCCUGUGGGUGUGCCUUUAACCCUCACAGGCUUAGACUCCACUUUCUCAACUUUAGCAGAUUUAGAGUUGAAAUCUAAUCUUUUCUUCAUAAUUUCUGGACUUUGUUUUGAGUCUGCUGCCAGCUUCCUGCGAACCCCUAUCACCUGGCUUUUACUGUGAACUUGCAUUUGUUGUUCUUUGGAUGCUGCCUUAUUUAUGUCCCUGAUGCUUGUAGGUUUGUUUGUACUGGGCUUCUCCUGCAACUCCUCUACAGCCAAGAUCAGAUUCGCCUUGUUCUGGUUGCUUUUCUGAUGUCUCUGGGGCCUCUGCGGGCCCUGAGUACGAGUGCUACGACUCCUCAGGAGCUCAGUGGGUAACGCCCGGAGAGAAGAGGCAGCCUCACUCUUACAAGACAGCGAAGUGGAAGAGAAACUGCUCUGCUCUGAGAGCUUUCUCUGCUUUCUUUGACCCUGUUCUUUUAUAGCCUUACCAUUCUUACCCUUCCUCUAUCCUCGGUGCAAGAAAGCAAGAAAAGGAUGGAAAAAAAGAGGCAUGCAUUAGAGAGGAAGAGACAUGCAGAUACAUCAAAGGACAUGGCACACAAAGCAAGAGUUUGAGUUACCUUUUGAACUGGAGACAGCGUGAGUGUUUUAUCACUGGGGUCUAUCUUCAUCACAUGAGUCUGUCAGGAAGGAGCAGCGAUCAAAUCAGCAGCAAAAUGUUAUAUUUGUCUUUUUUUCUGAGCAACAUUUAAGAUGAUCUCAUUGAUCUCU